Molecule: non-coding RNA, 378 nt
Organism: Onychomys torridus (southern grasshopper mouse)
Lineage: Eukaryota; Metazoa; Chordata; Mammalia; Rodentia; Cricetidae
Source: the annotation of a RefSeq genome assembly
AUGGACAUGAGGGCCCCUGCUCAGCUCCUCGGGCUCCUGCUGCUCUGGUUACCAGGUGCCCGAUGUGACAUCCAGAUGACCCAGUCUCCAUCCUUCUUGUCUGCAUCUCUGGGAGACAGAGUCACUCUCAAUUGUCGGUCCAGUCAGAGCAUUUAUAGUAGAUUAAACUGGUACCAGCAGAAACCAGGAAACGCUCCUAAGCUCCUGAUCUACAGUGCAUCCAACUUGGCUGAUGGGGUCCCAUCGAAGUUCAGUGGCAGUGGGUCUGGGACAGAUUAUUCCCUCACCAUCAGCAGCCUGGAGUCUGAAGACAUUGCAACUUAUUACUGUCAACAGGAUAAUGAGUAUCCUCCCACAGUGAUACAAGUCAUAACAUAA